This 254-nucleotide ribosomal RNA is filed under the name uncultured bacterium. Its description in RNAcentral is "partial 16S ribosomal RNA". It matches the Rfam family "Bacterial small subunit ribosomal RNA", at positions 524 to 776 of the family's 1533-position model. The record is from RNAcentral.
UACGUAGGGUGCGAGCGUUAAUCGGAAUUACUGGGCGUAAAGGGUGCGCAGGCGGUUAUAUAAGACAGAUGUGAAAUCCCCGGGCUCAACCUGGGAACUGCGUUUGUGACUGUAUGACUAGAGUACGGUAGAGAGGGGUGGAAUUCCUGGUGUAGCAGUGAAAUGCGUAGAUAUCAGGAGGAACAUCGAUGGCGAAGGCAGCCCCUUGGACCUGUACUGACGCUCAUGCACGAAAGCGUGGGGGAGCAAACAGG